GGAUUGUAGGCUGCAACUCGCCUACAUGAAGCUGGAAUUGCUAGUAAUCAUAGGUCAGCAUACUAUGGUGAAUACGUUCCCGGGCCUUGUACACACCGCCCGUCACACCAUGAGAGUUGGAAAUACCCGAAGCCUGUGAGCUAACAGUAAUGAGGCAGCAGUCGAAGGUAGAGCCAAUGAUUGGGGUGAAGUCGUAACAAGGUAUC
This 206-nucleotide ribosomal RNA is filed under the name uncultured bacterium. RNAcentral's name for it is "partial 16S ribosomal RNA". It matches the Rfam family "Bacterial small subunit ribosomal RNA", at positions 1295 to 1500 of the family's 1533-position model. The record is from RNAcentral.